GAUGAACGCUGGCGGCGUGCCUAAUACAUGCAAGUCGAGCGAACGGACGAGAAGCUUGCUUCUCUGAUGUUAGCGGCGGACGGGUGAGUAACACGUGGAUAACCUACCUAUAAGACUGGGAUAACUUCGGGAAACCGGAGCUAAUACCGGAUAAUAUUUUGAACCGCAUGGUUCAAAAGUGAAAGACGGUCUUGCUGUCACUUAUAGAUGGAUCCGCGCUGCAUUAGCUAGUUGGUAAGGUAACGGCUUACCAAGGCAACGAUGCAUAGCCGACCUGAGAGGGUGAUCGGCCACACUGGACAUGAGACACGGUCCAGACGCCUACGGGAGGCAGCAGUAGGGAAUCUUCCGCAAUGGGCGAAAGCCUGACGGAGCAACGCCGCGUGAGUGAUGAAGGUCUUCGGAUCGUAAAACUCUGUUAUUAGGGAAGAACAUAUGUGUAAGUAACUGUGCACAUCUUGACGGUACCUAAUCAGAAAGCCACGGCUAACUACGUG
This 497-nucleotide ribosomal RNA is filed under the name uncultured bacterium. RNAcentral describes it as "partial 16S ribosomal RNA". It matches the Rfam family "Bacterial small subunit ribosomal RNA", at positions 28 to 507 of the family's 1533-position model. The record is from RNAcentral.